This 310-nucleotide ribosomal RNA is filed under the name uncultured bacterium. Its description in RNAcentral is "bacterial SSU rRNA". It matches the Rfam family "Bacterial small subunit ribosomal RNA", at positions 338 to 647 of the family's 1533-position model. The record is from RNAcentral.
UCUACGGGAGGCAGCAGUGAGGAAUAUUGGUCAAUGGGCGAUGGCCUGAACCAGCCAAGUAGCGUGAAGGAUGACUGCCUAUGGGUUGUAAACUUCUUUUAUAAAGGAAUAAGUCGGGUAUGCAUACCCGUUUGCAUGUACUUUAUGAAUAAGGAUCGGCUAACUCCGUGCCAGCAGCCGCGGUAAUACGGAGGAUCCGAGCGUUAUCCGGAUUUAUUGGGUUUAAAGGGAGCGUAGAUGGAUGUUUAAGUCAGUUGUGAAAGUUUGCGGCUCAACCGUAAAAUUGCAGUUGAUACUGGAUGUCUUGAGU